This is a non-coding RNA of Peromyscus maniculatus bairdii (prairie deer mouse), 1021 nucleotides long. NCBI's taxonomy places the organism in Eukaryota, Metazoa, Chordata, Mammalia, Rodentia, Cricetidae. The record is from RefSeq and is a predicted model, not a curated record.
AAAGAAACAAAGGAGUCACAUUUUACUGUGGGCUCACAGUUUCAGAAUGGUCAGUUCAUGGCUGUUGGCUUCAUGUGCUUGAAGGAAACAUCAUGAGUGCAGGAGCAGGGCACCAGCAAGAACUUCCCACUGUUUGUGAAGCCUGAUGACUGCAACAUUUAUCCUAAUGGAUCAUCUCAUAGCUUAGAAACCAUUCUCAAAGACAUUCAAGAGAAGACUCAAAAUUCUUCUUCAGCAGUGGGAGCUUAAAACGGCAAGGCUAAGCCCUAGGACAGAAAGAACACUGGCUCUGGAGCAGGAACUGGACGUGUCCCGGCUCUGCCUACACAAUCUCUGUGACCUUAAAGACAUCACUGACUUCCUAGGAGAUUCAGUUUUAUGUCGCAUUUAAGCUAAAAUUUCCAAGGUCAUUUUAAAAAAAAACCCUGGUUUCUAAAUUCCUGUAAUCUAAGCUCCUGUGCAUAGUUAAAUGCAUAUGAGCCGUUACACCUUCCCUUCAAAAUGCCCGCUGCUUCCUUUUGCACUUAGACUAAAACCCAGACUCCCCUUCCAACCUUCAUCGCUUAUCUGAUGUGGCCCCGCCUACAGACUCCUCCCAUUCUCCACCCACCAUCUACUUCCACCAAGUGCUGGGCAUGCUGCUGCAGUGUACUCUGCCCCGUCCUUGCUUGCUGUCUCCUAUAUCACUCACAUUCCAUGCAGAUGUCACUUUGGGAGAGAUACCGUUUCUGAACACCUUAUUCUGCAACACACACACACACACACAAACACACACAUAUACACACACACACACAAUACCAUUCUAUCACUUCAUCUUUGUUUCAUUUUCUCCAUUGUGUCUGUCAUGACCAAAUGUUACCUUGUGCAAUUAUGCGAUAUCUUCACAUUUGAGAGACUGGUCCUGGAAUGCACGACUACCUGAUAGUGGGAACUUUGUCCAUCUACACUCCCAGGACCUAGCCAGACUGGCACCCUAGCAGAUUCUCAAAAAAGAAAUAAACAAAAACGUCUGACAAAUUCA